This is a long non-coding RNA of Etheostoma cragini (Arkansas darter), 122 nucleotides long. RefSeq lists it as uncharacterized. The transcript is spliced from 3 exons. NCBI's taxonomy places the organism in Eukaryota, Metazoa, Chordata, Actinopteri, Perciformes, Percidae. The record is from RefSeq and is a predicted model, not a curated record.
AAUGUAACUGUAGACAGACUCUCGAAUGAACUCAUGAAUUUGAAGGUCUCUUUACAUAGUUUGUAUCACCCUUUAUUUUGUUCAUUUCACAAAGGACUCACAUGGUAUCUUUGGCUGUUAUA